Long non-coding RNA from Drosophila miranda, 1038 nucleotides. RefSeq lists it as uncharacterized. The transcript has 3 exons. The record is from RefSeq and is a predicted model, not a curated record. NCBI's taxonomy places the organism in Eukaryota, Metazoa, Arthropoda, Insecta, Diptera, Drosophilidae.
GGUGCUCCAGUUUUCACAUAUUUUUUUUAUCGAUAUGUUUCUUUUUUCAUCGUUUCUGGCAAACAAAAACAGCUGACCUGGCUGCUUUGUAAAAAUACAGCGUGAUUAAAAUGCCUUUUAUUUUUUCAAUUGCUUGUUUUGAAGCAAAACGAUUGCAGAAAUUACGUGAUCUAAGAAGAUCUAGACAUCUUAGAUGCAACAUUUGUGUAUUUAACAUGUCUGACGAACUAUUUGUGAAGUCAUUUCGGAUCGACAAAAAAACUUUGUUGCAUGCGAAGAUAUCGAUAGGUGAUAUCCCAUAGAAGCGGUGAGGAGGAAAGAAGUUCGAACAUAGUGGCAAGGCCAAAAUUUAAGGGGAAAAGGUUAGCAAGAGUGGUGCCACCUGGUCCUGGAGAGUGAGAGUUCCGCGCGCUCUCCAGAGCCGUUAUGAGAGAAGAUUUCCGAUCUCAUCCCAUAACGGAGUCCCGAAGCCAACUCACCCACACCCCAAAGAAAGAGAGCCGCCAGCAGCCCGAAUCAGGCCAUGCCCUUGAACCUAGUUCAAGGGCGAUAGAAGAGAGAGCGAUGGGGAUCAGCGGCCCGGGAGCAUUAAACAGAGCAGCUAAGCCAAGAGGGGGUUCAGAGAAAGAAAUUCCCGCAACGGAGGAGCAUGCGCGCCGGACAUAGUGAUUUAGUGAUUUUUUUUUCUGAAAGAAAAAGGGAUCAAGAUCAGUGAAACACCAGGAACUUUAGAGCUGACCAGCGGGACGGAAAGUAGACCCAAAAAGCACAAGAGUGAGUCCGCUCCAAAGGUGGAGUAAAGAAACCCCAAAUUUAUUCUUUUUGUUGGCAAAUCCAUAGGGAAUAGGUCACAGCUCCGCCAUCCUGGCUUGCUUUUUGCUGGUCUCGAGGAAACUAUCCUGGCCACGUAGUGCGGGUCCCUCGCCCAUUUAGGGAGAGAGAAAAAAAGCAUCAAUUAACUUAUUUACUCCCAUUAUUUAUUUUUGUUAGACGUCUCCAUUUAUAUGUAUAUGUUAAUCCCCUAAUUUAAGUCCGCCC